GUCACUCAGUAGGAGAGUGCUUGCCUAAAAUGCAUGAGGCCUUAGGUUCAAUUCCUACC
Molecule: transfer RNA, 59 nt
Filed under: Cavia porcellus (domestic guinea pig)
Lineage: Eukaryota; Metazoa; Chordata; Mammalia; Rodentia; Caviidae
Rfam family: tRNA
About the family: Transfer RNA (tRNA) molecules are approximately 80 nucleotides in length. Their secondary structure includes four short double-helical elements and three loops (D, anti-codon, and T loops).
Source: Rfam by way of RNAcentral